RNAcentral lists this ribosomal RNA (39 nucleotides) under uncultured Helotiales. Its description in RNAcentral is "partial 28S ribosomal RNA". Lineage: Eukaryota; Fungi; Ascomycota; Leotiomycetes; Helotiales. The record is from RNAcentral.
GUUGACCUCGGAUCAGGUAGGAGCACCCGCUGAACUUAA